UCCUGGUGGCUCAGAUGGUAAAGCGUCUGCUUACAAUGCAGGAGACCCAGGUUCAAUCCCUAGGUCGGGAA
RNAcentral lists this transfer RNA (71 nucleotides) under Ovis aries (sheep). It matches the Rfam family "tRNA". From Rfam's summary of the family: Transfer RNA (tRNA) molecules are approximately 80 nucleotides in length. Their secondary structure includes four short double-helical elements and three loops (D, anti-codon, and T loops). The record is from Rfam by way of RNAcentral. Lineage: Eukaryota; Metazoa; Chordata; Mammalia; Artiodactyla; Bovidae.